RNAcentral lists this ribosomal RNA (460 nucleotides) under uncultured bacterium. Its description in RNAcentral is "partial 16S ribosomal RNA". It matches the Rfam family "Bacterial small subunit ribosomal RNA", at positions 338 to 795 of the family's 1533-position model. The record is from RNAcentral.
CCUACGGGAGGCAGCAGUGAGGAAUAUUGGUCAAUGGGCGCGAGCCUGAACCAGCCAAGUAGCGUGAGGGAUGACUGCCCUACGGGUUGUAAGCUUCUUUUGUAAAGGAGUAAAGUGAGGCACGUGUGCCUUUUUGUAUGUACUUUAUGAAUAAGGCUCGGCUAACUCCGUGCCAGCAGCCGCGGUAAUACGGAGGAUCCGAGCGUUAUCCGGAUUUAGUGGGUUUAAAGGGAGCGUAGAUGGGUUGUUAAGUCAGUUGUGAAAGUUUGCGGCUCAACCGUAAAAGUGCAAUUGAUACUGGGAGGCUUGAGUACAGUUGAGGUAGGCGGAAUUCGUGGUGUAGCGGUGAAAUGCUUAGAUAUUACGAAGAACUCCGAUUGCGAAGGCAGCUUACUAAACUGCCACUGACAUUGAUGCUCGAAAGUGUGGGGAUCAAACAGGAUUAGAUACCCCGGUAGUC